UAGGGAAUUUUCGGCAAUGGGGGGAACCCUGACCGAGCAACGCCGCGUGAAUGACGAAGUACUUCGGUAUGUAAAGUUCUUUUAUAUGGGAAGAAAAAGCAAUUAUUGACGGUACCAUAUGAAUAAGCCCCGGCUAACUAUGUGCCAGCAGCCGCGGUAAUACAUAGGGGGCAAGCGUUAUCCGGAUUUACUGGGCGUAAAGGGUGCGUAGGUGGUUAUAAAAGUCUGUGGUGUAAGUGCAGUGCUCAACGCUGUGAGGCUAUGGAAACUAUAUAACUAGAGUGAGACAGAGGCAAGUGGAAUUCCAUGUGUAGCGGUAAAAUGCGUAAAUAUAUGGAGGAACACCAGUGGCGAAGGCGGCUUGCUGGGUCUAAACUGACACUGAUGCACGAAAGCGUGG
Molecule: ribosomal RNA, 400 nt
Filed under: uncultured bacterium
Lineage: Bacteria
Description: bacterial SSU rRNA
Rfam family: Bacterial small subunit ribosomal RNA
Source: RNAcentral